This 30-nucleotide non-coding RNA is filed under the name Mus musculus (house mouse). Lineage: Eukaryota; Metazoa; Chordata; Mammalia; Rodentia; Muridae. The record is from RNAcentral.
UGCUUUGGUGCCGGGUUUUCCCCCAGCUGU